GAGUAAUGUCUGGGAAACUGCCUGAUGGAGGGGGAUAACUACUGGAAACGGUGGCUAAUACCGCAUAACGUCGCAAGACCAAAGAGGGGGACCUUCGGGCCUCUUGCCAUCAGAUGUGCCCAGAUGGGAUUAGCUUGUUGGUGAGGUAACGGCUCACCAAGGCGACGAUCCCUAGCUGGUCUGAGAGGAUGACCAGCCACACUGGAACUGAGACACGGUCCAGACUCCUACGGGAGGCAGCAGUGGGGAAUAUUGCACAAUGGGCGCAAGCCUGAUGCAGCCAUGCCGCGUGUAUGAAGAAGGCCUUCGGGUUGUAAAGUACUUUCAGCGGGGAGGAAGGUGUUGUGGUUAAUAACCGCAGCAAUUGACGUUACCCGCAGAAGAAGCACCGGCUAACUCCGUGCCAGCAGCCGCGGUAAUACGGAGGGUGCAAGCGUUAAUCGGAAUUACUGGGCGUAAAGCGCACGCAGGCGGUCUGUCAAGUCGGAUGUGAAAUCCCCGGGCUCAACCUGGGAACUGCAUUCGAAACUGGCAGGCUUGAGUCUUGUAGAGGGGGGUAGAAUUCCAGGUGUAGCGGUGAAAUGCGUAGAGAUCUGGAGGAAUACCGGUGGCGAAGGCGGCCCCCUGGACAAAGACUGACGCUCAGGUGCGAAAGCGUGGGGAGCAAACAGGAUUAGAUACCCUGGUAGUCCACGCCGUAAACGAUGUCUACUUGGAGGUUGUGCCCUUGAGGCGUGGCUUCCGGAGCUAACGCGUUAAGUAGACCGCCUGGGGAGUACGGCCGCAAGGUUAAAACUCAAAUGAAUUGACGGGGGCCCGCACAAGCGGUGGAGCAUGUGGUUUAAUUCGAUGCAACGCGAAGAACCUUACCUGGUCUUGACAUCCACAGAACUUUCCAGAGAUGGACUGGUGCCUUCGGGAACUGUGAGACAGGUGCUGCAUGGCUGUCGUCAGCUCGUGUUGUGAAAUGUUGGGUUAAGUCCCGCAACGAGCGCAACCCUUAUCCUUUGUUGCCAGCGGUCCGGCCGGGAACUCAAAGGAGACUGCCAGUGAUAAACUG
Molecule: ribosomal RNA, 1060 nt
Filed under: Salmonella enterica subsp. enterica
Lineage: Bacteria; Pseudomonadati; Pseudomonadota; Gammaproteobacteria; Enterobacterales; Enterobacteriaceae
Description: bacterial SSU rRNA
Rfam family: Bacterial small subunit ribosomal RNA
Source: RNAcentral